RNAcentral lists this ribosomal RNA (903 nucleotides) under uncultured archaeon. RNAcentral's name for it is "bacterial SSU rRNA". It matches the Rfam family "Archaeal small subunit ribosomal RNA", at positions 1 to 922 of the family's 1478-position model. The record is from RNAcentral.
UUCCGGUUGAUCCUGCCGGACCUGACUGCUAUCGGAUUGAUACUAAGCCAUGUGAGUCAUUGCAGUAAUGCAAGGCAGACGGCUCAGUAACACGUAGUCAACCUAACCUAUGGACGGGGAUAACCUCGGGAAACUGAGGAUAAACCCCGAUAGAUCAUUAUGCCUGGAACGGUUUAUGGUCCAAAUGAUUCGUCGCCAUAGGAUGGGACUGCGGCCUAUCAGCUUGUUGGUGAGGUAAUGGCCCACCAAGGCUAUUACAGGUACGGGCUCUGAGAGGAGAAGCCCGGAGAUGGGUACUGAGACACGGACCCAGGCCCUAUGGGGCGCAGCAGGCGAGAAACCUUUGCAAUGUGCGCAAGCACGACAAGGUUAAUCCGAGUGUUUCCUGCUAAAGGAAUCUUUUGUUAGUUCUAAAACCACUGAUGAAUAAGGGGUGGGCAAGUUCUGGUGUCAGCCGCCGCGGUAAAACCAGCACCUCAAGUGGUCAGGAGGAUUAUUGGGCCUAAAGCAUCCGUAGCCUGUUCUGUAAGUUUUCGGUUAAAUCCAUUAGCUCAACUAAUGGGCCGCCGACAAUACUGUAGAACUAGGGAGUGGGAGAGGUAGACGGUACUCGGUAGGAAGGGGUAAAAUCCUUUGAUCUAUUGAUGACCACCUGUGGCGAAAGCGGUCUACCAGAACACGUUCGACGGUGAGGGAUGAAAGCUGGGGGAGCAAACCGGAUUAGAUACCCGGGUAGUCCCAGCUGUAAACGAUGCAGACUCGGUGAUGCGCUGGCUUGUGGCCCAGUGCAGUGCCGCAGGAAGCCGUUAAGUUUGCCGCCUGGGAAGUACGUACGCAAGUAUGAACUUAAAAGAAUUGGCGGGGAGCACACACGGGUGAAGCUGCGUUCAAUGAUUCACGCGG